UUCUUUGGAGAGUUUGAUCUUGGCUCAGGACGAACGCUGGCGGCGUGCCUAAUACAUGCAAGUCGAGCGCGGGAAGCAGGCAAACACCCUUCGGGGUGUGCGCCUGUGGAACGAGCGGCGGACGGGUGAG
Molecule: ribosomal RNA, 130 nt
Filed under: Lentibacillus lipolyticus
Lineage: Bacteria; Bacillati; Bacillota; Bacilli; Caryophanales; Bacillaceae
Description: Lentibacillus sp. SSKP1-9 partial 16S ribosomal RNA
Rfam family: Bacterial small subunit ribosomal RNA
Source: RNAcentral